GAUGAACGCUGGCGGCGUGCUUAACACAUGCAAGUCGAACGGAAAGGCCCAAGCUUGCUUGGGUACUCGAGUGGCGAACGGGUGAGUAACACGUGGGUGAUCUGCCCCGCACUUCGGGAUAAGCCUGGGAAACUGGGUCUAAUACCGGAUAGGACAGUGGUUUGGAUGCCAUUGUGGAAAGUUUUUUCGGUGUGGGAUGAGCUCGCGGCCUAUCAGCUUGUUGGUGGGGUAAUGGCCUACCAAGGCGUCUACGGGUAGCCGGCCUGAGAGGGUGUACGGCCACAUUGGGACUGAGAUACGGCCCAGACUCCUACGGGAGGCAGCAGUGGGGAAUAUUGCACAAUGGGCGCAAGCCUGAUGCAGCGACGCCGCGUGGGGGAUGACGGCCUUCGGGUUGUAAACUCCUUUCGCUAGGGACGAAGCGUUAUGUGACGGUACCUAGAGAAGAAGCACCGGCUAACUACGUG
This 467-nucleotide ribosomal RNA is filed under the name uncultured bacterium. Its description in RNAcentral is "partial 16S ribosomal RNA". It matches the Rfam family "Bacterial small subunit ribosomal RNA", at positions 28 to 507 of the family's 1533-position model. The record is from RNAcentral.